UAAAGCAGCCAUAUCACCCUGUAGCCCAAGACUGGUUGCCCACUGAAGCUAAGCAGGGUUGAGCCUGGUCAGUACCUGGAUGGGAGACCUCCUGGGAAAACUAGGUUGCUGCUGGAA
Molecule: ribosomal RNA, 117 nt
Filed under: Sinocyclocheilus anshuiensis
Lineage: Eukaryota; Metazoa; Chordata; Actinopteri; Cypriniformes; Cyprinidae
Source: RNAcentral